UGUUGUAGUAUUGUAUGUAUUGUUAGGGUUAGAUUUUUGAAAACUAAAAUGUUUUUUUCAAAAAUUAGUUUUCACUUAUAUGUGUUUAUUUAUGUGUAUAGUAAACACUUUUCAAGUUUGAUUUGAUUUUAUGAAGUCUUUAAUUAGAUAAUUAAGUUUAGGGGUUAUGUUUAGGGUGUAGACGACUUAUAUUUCAGUCGUCUGUUGAAUAAUUUACUCGGACGACGUAUAUUUCAAUCGUCUGUUGAAUAAUUUACUCGGACGACUUACAUUUCAGUCAUCUGGUGAAGAAAUUAAAACAGACGACUUACAUGUAAGUCGUCCAAAUAUUCCCGCCUAAUUUUUUUUAAAAAAAUUAU
Molecule: long non-coding RNA, 359 nt
Filed under: Brassica napus (rape)
Lineage: Eukaryota; Viridiplantae; Streptophyta; Magnoliopsida; Brassicales; Brassicaceae
Description: long non-coding RNA (BNAP_LNC016934)
Source: RNAcentral